CUCCCACAGCACCAGGAACUUGUACCAGGAAGUUUUGGGGAGGCUGGCACAAGUGGGCAUUCAUGGUAUUCUGGCCCACUGCCGGGAACAGAUAAAGUACUUGAGGAUCUGGUACCAGAGGGCAAAAAAUGCCAGAAGUCACUCUGGGAGUGGUCCUGCAACAUAUCCAUUCUUCAAGGAAAUGGACCAGGUACUCUCCAGGGCUCCCAGUACUGAGCCUGAGGUCACACAUGAACACCUCAUCAACCCUGCCAGCCUCAUUGUCUGAUGGGGUGCUGAUGAAAGCCAGGGCGUGCAACAGGCUGGAUCAGGGAGGAGCAGACCCAGAAGACCUGAAGGAGGGGGCUCCAGAGGAUGAGGAGCAUGUUAUCCUGCACCACUACCUGAGAAGCUAGUUCAUCAAGCCCCUCCUAAGGAGCCAGAUGUGGACCCCAAGACUCAACAGGAAUAGCAACCUGAGGCUGACAGAUGGAAUUCUGAACUACAGCUUAUUUAAGGACUCCAUCCUGCAAUAUGCUGAGUGCCGUUGGCACCCAUUUUAGUCCAGGGGAAUAGAGGGAGUUUAGCAUCUCUCAGUAUCAUCAGUAAACAAAAUGACCUCUGAAAUGACCUGGUAUCAUCACUGCAGCUCCAACUUCUGGCAGCAUCUUAAAGACUGAAAGCAUCUUUGGAGAUUGUCUUGCCCCAUCUUCAAAGGUGUAUCAUGAGUACUAAUUCUACCACAUAUGGAGCUCAAUUCUGGCUCAAGGGAGUCCUCUUCCUAUAUCUUUAGCUCUAGGGAGGAAUACAGUAUCCUGUGCAUAGAUGAGAAUAUGUUCUUACGUCAUUAAAGAGAGGAUUUAGAGGCAUCAGGCAUAAAUCUCUGGCUAUCAAGAUGAGAAUUCACCUCAGAGGUUCCAUUAGCAUCUCAAGUGCAAGGGUCCACUUAUUGUGGGCUCAUAUGACUGCCAGCUUCUAUAUGGUGUUUCACUCUAGUCCACAAUCUGUUGGUGAUGUCUCUGAACUCUGCUCAAACAUGUAUAGGCUGCAUAGAGGGGAGCAGAAGAACACUGGCUCUGUCACAGAGAUAAAUGGGAGCUGCCAGCCUCUUCCUCCCCGCAAACCCUAUUUCGGAAUAGAUGUUGCACAGAGAGGAGCUGAAACUGUGCUGGACUGUCUGCUAAAAUGCAGGAGGUGCCUAUAUGCAUGAUGAUGUUAUGAGCAACUCAGCAACAGGAUGAAAAGAACCUUCAGAGCAGCAACCCAUUUCCAUGUCCAGGACCUGUGCCCUAGGUCACUCGUUAAUGAGCUGAGCACCAAGAAAGGAUGGAAUCUAUUACAACGGGAUAUGGGCAGGAAGUUUUUCUUUAUGGUUUCAUAGAUUUACGAAAGCGAGAGAGAAAGAGAAGUGAUGAUUAUCAACCGUCCAUUCAGAUACUGUUCCUUGGAGAUUGAUGACUGCAGCUUGGACUUGAUCAGAUAGGAGUUGGGUUCCAGUUGAAGGAGUGACUGGACCCUCUCUGGCCCCUGGCCUGUAUAAUCUCUGACCUUCCUAACCUCUGCAGGGCUUCCUUUAUGAGAGUUCCCGGCCAGAUGGUCAAGUCAUCAAAGCUUUAUGAGCACAAACUCCUUUUACCACUUCACAGUUUCUUCCAUCCAAAAAGCAGAAAGGGUGGAAGUGUGAGGAAAAGAGGCUAGAAGGUGUUAAAGAUAAAAGCAAGACACAGAGGUACCUUCCUGCUGGAUUCCUUGCAUGUUAGUAUGAUGUGUGUGAGUAUGAUGCUUGCUGUCCAUGUAUAUUAUAUGCAAUUUUGAAUU
Mauremys reevesii (Reeves's turtle) is the source of this 1797-nucleotide long non-coding RNA. RefSeq lists it as uncharacterized. Lineage: Eukaryota; Metazoa; Chordata; Testudines; Geoemydidae. The record is from RefSeq and is a predicted model, not a curated record. The transcript has 9 exons.